This 890-nucleotide long non-coding RNA is filed under the name Felis catus (domestic cat). RNAcentral describes it as "lncRNA (ENSFCAG00000041984.2)". The record is from RNAcentral. Lineage: Eukaryota; Metazoa; Chordata; Mammalia; Carnivora; Felidae.
CCCAGGGGCUCUCAACCUUUUAGCGGUGUUCUGAGUGCACUGCCUGCUUUUCCAGAGGUCUGGGAAACGGAGCAGAGAGGCCCGGAGCUCCGGCCUCGGGUGGCUGGCCAUGCUCAGCCAGGCACCGUGUUGGAAGGAGCUGUCCGUUUCCAGGCAUCUCUUGAAAAGCAUCCUUCCUCACCUCCACCGCUGCCUCACAAAGGGCAAAGUGUGCCCUGAGAUCCCAGGCUCAGUACUGGGUUGCCUAGUGUCAUUUCCUGCAUCGUUUCUGCGGUUCUGUCCGUGUGCUUUGCCAGCUAGAACAAAACAGCGCUGCUAUGGAAACUGCAAACACCAGGCAAUCCUGGCCCCUGCACUUGGCAGCCCAGCCGGGAGAGAGAUAAUGGCUUUUGUUGUUAUCUAUUGGAUGCUGAUGCUCAGUCGCUUGUACCCUCAGGCCCUAACUAGGGACACGCUGACACUGCACCAUCAGUGCUCGGUUGUAAACUUCCCCAGCCUCGUGAUGCAGGCUGGAGAUAACAGUGCAGCCAGGCCUGCUCAUUAUCCUGAUGACAACCGGGGGGCUUUGUACUUUCCGGACAACUUCUGUGGUCUCUUCACUCCCAGGGGGCCUAGAGCUCUCACAGGUGGUCAAAGUCGGCCCGCGGGAGCUGCAGGACUGAAACCAAGAAUGUCGUCAUUAAUUCAAAGAUACCUGAAGGCAGAGGAGAGAACCUUUUGGCUUUGGGUCCAUAACUCAGUUUUGCAGUAGGGAAGACCAGAACAGGUAAAACCAAUUUAUAAUUUCUGAUAAUGAUACAUGGAUUUCUGUCCAAUAUCAAUGUUCUACUGAUUAAAAAAUGUUCCUGGAGUCCUGGGAAAUGAGUCCAAGCUUAUAGAUAGGAUGACUG